AUGUUACAUCAAGGAUCAUUUCACAUAAAUGAGCAGAAGCAAGGCAACAUCAGUCUUCUCAUCUACAAAGUGUCUGCCAUAUUCAGAUAUGAGCCAUACAAAGGAUUGGAGGCACAGAGGAUAACCAGAAAGGAAGAAAACCUCGGACUACCAGAGGCUUUUUCAGUUUGUGUGUGUGGAAACAGCUUGCAUCUUGCCAACUUAGAUAAACUGAAACUACUUGAACAAAUAUCAAAUACCAACCUUUGAAUACUCUGAAAAAAGUACUGUGAUAAUGGGACAAUUGUAUUCAGAUCCACAUCAUCAGGAACAUUGAUAUCAAGAGAAAUGUAGAGCCAUUCCUAGAUGUAUUCCCUGUUUAGUCCCUACAAAGCUUCCCUAUGUAUUGAUAUUAUCUGAUUCUGCCUGAAUUCUAAUGUAGAAAAUGUUCUACUAUCGCAGGCUCCAUUCGAUAGAUUAUGAAAGAGCUUAAACUAGAUGCAUUUGUUUUCCUAUGUGUAAAGAAGUGUAUGAUUUUAUUUUGUUUAAUGAUGACAUGUUUAUUUGAUUUGUUUAAACAGUCAGGUUUGGUUAAUUUAAUAUGGUGAGUAUUAGAGCUGAUAAUACCAGGAGAUAGCCAGCUCAGCAUUGAAGAACUGGUUGCUAUGACAACGGGGGCGGAGCCAACCACCAUUUGGAAAGGAAAAGGGGGAAUGUUUUAAAAACCCAGUUUCAGUCUGUGAUUUCUAGUCGCAAGACGAAGACUGAUUCUCAUGUGGAGGGUCAGGAUGGCUCAAACAAAAAGAAUUUGAGUCAGAUCUAAAAUAAAGUGAUUUAUUUUAGAUAGUCUGUGAUUUUGAAUCACAGGGAGCAGUCUGGUUUCAAGACUGAAGAAAGCCAGAGGGACAGACCUCUAUUAGGCCAGACUAGGCAAGUUAGGGACUUGUUUAGGGUCAGUUAUAGAGGCUGUGGAUUAGGGAAAGUUAAUCCCAGUGGAUCCAGGAGGAUCAGGUUUUGGUUUAGUUUGGAGGAAGAAGUAUUUUGAAAGUUUGAACACCUCAUAUCUGUUUGUAACCAUUAAGCUAAGUGCCUUUAAAAAGUUAUAAGAAACCAUCAAGCUCUGUACAAGCAAUAAACUUAUUUUGAUUUUAUUCCACCUAAGUCUCUGUCACAAUUAUAUACCAAGUUAAGCGACAUCAUCAUCUGAGGUAAAAUAAACAAAGAAAUCAUUAAAAAGAACCAGUGCCAUCUGCCUGACGUCUCCUCAAAUGGUGGCAGCGAAGAAGAGAAUUAAAUAAAUAAUUAAUUAAAAUCAUCAUUCAUAAAACAUCUUUAUAAUUGGUGGUAUCUGUGUGUGUGGUGGGAUCAAAAAGGAUUCCAUCUCUGUCACACAUCUCUCACCUCUCCACAAUUGGUGGCAGCGGUGGAAUUCAAAAGGAUUCCUCCCUGUCACACUUCUCCACACUAUGUAGUAGAUAUUUUCCAAGUUCCUCUAUUUAUUAUUUAUUUUAUUGCAUUUUUACCCCACUCUAUCUCCACCCCGAAGGGGACUCAGAGCAGCUUCUAUUUAUUGCUAAUCAACAGCAACUGAAGAAUGUUCACAGCAGUCUGGAAAUAAUCACUUCCUGGGUUGUCUUCCCAACUCAGCAAAAAUUAGAAUCUUUCCAAUCCCCUGGUCUUUAAUAAUUUGACAUUAAAAUGGAUGACUUUGAUUAACAAUAAUUCCAGGCAAGCUAUAGGAGCCAUCUUGCCAAAUUCUGCAACACACUGAGAUCAAA
Anolis carolinensis (green anole) is the source of this 1757-nucleotide long non-coding RNA. The record is from Ensembl. NCBI's taxonomy places the organism in Eukaryota, Metazoa, Chordata, Lepidosauria, Squamata, Anolidae.